AAGGAUUUAAGUUAAACAAACUAUCGGCCUUCAAAGCUGAAAACAGAAGCUAUUAACCUUG
This 61-nucleotide transfer RNA is filed under the name Chrysomeloidea sp. 4 KM-2017. Its description in RNAcentral is "tRNA-Trp". Lineage: Eukaryota; Metazoa; Arthropoda; Insecta; Coleoptera. The record is from RNAcentral.